RNAcentral lists this long non-coding RNA (569 nucleotides) under Carica papaya (papaya). RNAcentral describes it as "long non-coding RNA (CPAP_LNC010788)". Lineage: Eukaryota; Viridiplantae; Streptophyta; Magnoliopsida; Brassicales; Caricaceae. The record is from RNAcentral.
CCUUCAUCACUCUUAUCCUUAUCUAGGGUAUUUUUUCUACCCAUGACAUUUUUGCCAGAUAUCUAAUUGAUACAAGUACGCACGUCCCAUCCGCGCGCAGCGCGAGGUCAAUCCUGUGUGCGUCAUGUCACACGGGGACAAGGGUCCUACACUAUGCACACGCUGUCCGCAUAGCAGACUUGUGUGGAUAGGCCCCUGCGCGCUUGAGGACCACGCGCAGUAGACCUAUAUGCGCGGCACCCAGCGCACCCAGGCCUUGCGCCUACAGGCUAGCCUUGCAGCACGCCCAGGCCCUGUGCCUGCAGGCUAGCCCUGUAGCGCACCGGGCACGUGAGGCCACUAUCACCUCGGGCAGUGUGUCGUCGCCCCCCUCGAGCAACGUGCCGCAGCUCCUAGCGCCACCACCGGUGGAGGAGGUCUUCCUACUUCAUUUUUCGUGCCAAGAAUCUUUUUCUCUCUCUCUUCAUCAUAUUUCGCCACUUGGUGUAAAUCCAACAGCCCCCCAUUUUUUAUAAAUAGGGGUCAUUCCUUCCCAUGUUUUUCACACUUCCAUUCUUUCACAUUUCAAG